RNAcentral lists this ribosomal RNA (465 nucleotides) under Vreelandella stevensii. RNAcentral's name for it is "partial 16S ribosomal RNA". It matches the Rfam family "Bacterial small subunit ribosomal RNA", at positions 338 to 795 of the family's 1533-position model. Lineage: Bacteria; Pseudomonadati; Pseudomonadota; Gammaproteobacteria; Oceanospirillales; Halomonadaceae. The record is from RNAcentral.
CCUACGGGGGGCAGCAGUGGGGAAUAUUGGACAAUGGGGGCAACCCUGAUCCAGCCAUGCCGCGUGUGUGAAGAAGGCCCUCGGGUUGUAAAGCACUUUCAGUGAGGAAGAACGCCUGGUGGUUAAUACCCAUCAGGAAAGACAUCACUCACAGAAGAAGCACCGGCUAACUCCGUGCCAGCAGUCGCGGUAAUACGGAGGGUGCGAGCGUUAAUCGGAAUUACUGGGCGUAAAGCGCGCGUAGGUGGCUUGAUAAGCCGGUUGUGAAAGCCCCGGGCUCAACCUGGGAACGGCAUCCGGAACUGUCAAGCUAGAGUGCAGGAGAGGAAGGUAGAAUCCCCGGUGUAGCGGUGAAAUGCGUAGAGAUCGGGAGGAAUACCAGUGGCGAAGGCGGCCUUCUGGACUGACACUGACACUGAGGUGCGAAAGCGUGGGUAGCAAACAGGAUUAGAUACCCUGGUAGUC